This 670-nucleotide long non-coding RNA is filed under the name Salarias fasciatus (jewelled blenny). RNAcentral describes it as "lncRNA (ENSSFAG00005001982.1)". Lineage: Eukaryota; Metazoa; Chordata; Actinopteri; Blenniiformes; Blenniidae. The record is from RNAcentral.
AGCUUUGUUCAUUUAUAUGGAUAGACAGCAAACAGUCUGAAUUGCCUCCGUAUGAGCGGGAGCUUGUAGAUUCAUAACCGGUACCUGCUCUCUGCCGCUACAGGGUUUCCCAGUGAUCUUCCACGGAGUGAUGGGAAAGGAUGAGCGAGAGGCCAACAGUCCGUCUUCUUCAAUGUGUCUGAGAUCGAAGUCCUGGUCGACUACCUCACCAAACUGGUGGAAACGCAACAGAAGAAGGGCCUCCCGAAGCUCUCUGCAAAGGACAUCGGCAUCAUCGCCCCCUACAGGAAGCAAGUUGAAAAGAUCCAAAAGGCCCUGCGGUCCGUUCCAGCGCUGAGAAAAUGGGAGGAUCUCAAAGAGCUGAAGGUUGGUUCUGUGGAAGAGUUUCAGGGGCAGGAGAGGAGGAUCAUCAUGGUGUCUGCGGUCCGAAGCAGCAUCAACUACAUCAAGAUGGACAAAGACUUCAACAUUGGGUUUCUGUCAAACGAAAAGAGGUUCAAUGUGGCUAUAACAAGAGCCAGAUCCCUGCUCAUAGUCGUGGGAAACCCCGUGAUCCUCAACAAGGACCCCACCUGGAAGAAAUUCAUCAGCUACUGCGUGGAGGAGAGGGGCUACACUGGCUUCGACUUCAAAGACGCAGAGGGAGAAGAUGACAUCGUGUCAAGAUGGC